RNAcentral lists this ribosomal RNA (497 nucleotides) under uncultured bacterium. Its description in RNAcentral is "partial 16S ribosomal RNA". It matches the Rfam family "Bacterial small subunit ribosomal RNA", at positions 28 to 507 of the family's 1533-position model. The record is from RNAcentral.
GAUGAACGCUGGCGGCGUGCCUAAUACAUGCAAGUCGAGCGAACGGACGAGAAGCUUGCUUCUCUGAUGUUAGCGGCGGACGGGUGAGUAACACGUGGAUAACCUACCUAUAAGACUGGGAUAACUUCGGGAAACCGGAGCUAAUACCGGAUAAUAUUUUGAACCGCAUGGUUCAAAAGUAAAAGACGGUCUUGCUGUCACUUAUAGAUGGAACCGCGCUGCAUUAGCUAGUUGGUAAGGUAACGGCUUACCAAGGCAACGAUGCAUAGCCGACCUGAGAGGGGGAUCGGCAACACUGGAACUGAGAAACGGUCCAGACUCCUACGGGAGGCAGAGGUAGGGAACCUUCGGAAAUGGGCGAAAGCCUGACGGAGCAACGCCGCGUGAGUGAUGAAGGUCUUCGGAUCGUAAAACUCUGUUAUUAGGGAAGAACAUAUGUGUAAGUAACUGUGCACAUCUUGACGGUACCUAAUCAGAAAGCCACGGCUAACUACGUG